CAGCCGCCGCGGGAAAACGGAGGGUGCAAGCGUUAAUCGGAAUUACUGGGCGUAAAGCGCACGCAGGCGGUCUGACAAGUCAGAUGUGAAAUCCCCGGGCUUAACCUGGGAACUGCAUUUGAAACUGUCAGGCUGGAGUCUUGUAGAGGGGGGUGGAAUUCCAGGUGUAGCGGUGAAAUGCGUAGAGAUCUGGAGGAAUACCGGUGGCGAAGGCGGCCCCCUGGACAAAGACUGACGCUCAGGUGCGAAAGCGUGGGGAGCAAACAGGAUUAGAUACCCCGGUAGUACCUGUCUCUUAUAC
RNAcentral lists this ribosomal RNA (301 nucleotides) under uncultured bacterium. RNAcentral's name for it is "partial 16S ribosomal RNA". It matches the Rfam family "Bacterial small subunit ribosomal RNA", at positions 509 to 807 of the family's 1533-position model. The record is from RNAcentral.